RNAcentral lists this ribosomal RNA (253 nucleotides) under uncultured bacterium. Its description in RNAcentral is "partial 16S ribosomal RNA". It matches the Rfam family "Bacterial small subunit ribosomal RNA", at positions 524 to 776 of the family's 1533-position model. The record is from RNAcentral.
UACGUAGGGUGCGAGCGUUGUCCGGAAUUAUUGGGCGUAAAGGGCUCGUAGGCGGUCUGUUGCGUCAGGAGUGAAAACUCGGGGCUUAACCCCGAGCCUGCUUCUGAUACGGGCAGACUAGAGGUAUGCAGGGGAGAACGGAAUUCCUGGUGUAGCGGUGAAAUGCGCAGAUAUCAAGUGGAACACCAGUGGCGAAGGCGAAUCCCUGGAAAAUACCUGACACUGAGGCACGAAAGCUAGGGGAGCAAACAGG